GACGAACGCUGGCGGCGUGGAUUAGGCAUGCAAGUCGAACGGUAUCAUCCUUUCGGGGGUGAGAGAGUGGCGAACUGGUGAGUAACACGUAGGUUAUCUACCCUCAAGACGGGGACAACCCAGGGAAACUUGGGCUAAUACCGGAUGUGAGCAACUUUUAGUUGUUUGAAAGGUGGCGUAAGCUGUCGCUUGGGGAUGAGCCUGCGUCCUAUUAGUUAGUUGGUGAGGUAACGGCUCACCUAGGCAAUGAUAGGUAGGCGGCCUUAACGGGUGGUCGCCCACACUGGGAUUGAGAUACGGCCCAGACUCCUACGGGAGGCAGCAGUCGAGAAUAGUCUACAAUGGUCGGAAGACUGAUAGUGCGACGCCGCGUGAACGAUGAAUCCCUUCGGGGUGUAAAGUUCUUUUAUAUGUGAGCAGUGCUUCUUAUAUUAACAGUAUGGGGAGAGAGAUAUUAGCAUAUGAAUAAGCAACGGCUAACUCCGUGCCAGCAGCCGGACGUAA
Molecule: ribosomal RNA, 504 nt
Filed under: uncultured bacterium
Lineage: Bacteria
Description: bacterial SSU rRNA
Rfam family: Bacterial small subunit ribosomal RNA
Source: RNAcentral